This 253-nucleotide ribosomal RNA is filed under the name uncultured bacterium. RNAcentral describes it as "partial 16S ribosomal RNA". It matches the Rfam family "Bacterial small subunit ribosomal RNA", at positions 524 to 776 of the family's 1533-position model. The record is from RNAcentral.
UACGUAGGGUGCAAGCGUUAAUCGGAAUUACUGGGCGUAAAGCGUGCGCAGGCGGUUGUGCAAGACAGAUGUGAAAUCCCCGGGCUCAACCUGGGAACUGCAUUUGUGACUGCACGGCUAGAGUGUGUCAGAGGGGGGUAGAAUUCCAGGUGUAGCGGUGAAAUGCGUAGAUAUCUGGAGGAAUACCGGUGGCGAAGGCGGCAUCCUGGACCGGCAUUGACGCUGAGGAGCGAAAGCUAGGGGAGCAAACGGG